RNAcentral lists this microRNA precursor (99 nucleotides) under Loxodonta africana (African savanna elephant). Its description in RNAcentral is "mir-544 microRNA precursor family". It matches the Rfam family "mir-544 microRNA precursor family". Lineage: Eukaryota; Metazoa; Chordata; Mammalia; Proboscidea; Elephantidae. The record is from Rfam by way of RNAcentral.
AUCACCUAGGGAUUUUGUUAAAAUGCAGAUUCUGAUUCAGUAGGUCUGGAGUGUGAGCUGAGAUUCUAUAUUUCUAACAAGUUCCCCCGGUGAUACGCA